Molecule: ribosomal RNA, 468 nt
Filed under: uncultured bacterium
Lineage: Bacteria
Description: partial 16S ribosomal RNA
Rfam family: Bacterial small subunit ribosomal RNA
Source: RNAcentral
GACGAACGCUGGCGGCGUGCUUAACACAUGCAAGUCGAACGGAAAGGCCCUGCUUUUGUGGGGUGCUCGAGUGGCGAACGGGUGAGUAACACGUGAGUAACCUGCCCUUGACUUUGGGAUAACUUCAGGAAACUGGGGCUAAUACCGGAUAGGAGCUCCUGCUGCAUGGUGGGGGUUGGAAAGUUUCGGCGGUUGGGGAUGGACUCGCGGCUUAUCAGCUUGUUGGUGGGGUAGUGGCUUACCAAGGCUUUGACGGGUAGCCGGCCUGAGAGGGUGACCGGCCACAUUGGGGAUGGGAUACGGCCCAGACUCCUACGGGAGGCAGCAGUGGGGAAUAUUGCACAAUGGGCGGAAGCCUGAUGCAGCAACGCCGCGUGCGGGAUGACGGCCUUCGGGUUGUAAACCGCUUUCGCCUGUGACGAAGCGUGAGUGACGGUAAUGGGUAAAGAAGCACCGGCUAACUACGUG